AUCAUCAGAAUCAUCUGUAUCAAUUUCAUUUAUAGCAUUAAGAUUAUGGUCCUCUGAUGCCUCUACAGAUUGUAAAUAAUACAUACUUACAUAUUUGGCAGAAUCAUAUUGUCAAAGAAAUGCAUAUGAAUAAUUAUCUUCAUAACUCAUCUUCAAACACUGCCUAUUAUUGUAGAUUAUUUGUCCAUCUCACAUGCAUACCAAACAUUGUGUGUUUUUAAAAACCUGAUUCACUAUAUGAUGGAAAAGCCUCCCUGCACCAUUCAGGGCUGGCCAUUAUCCAGACUUCACAGUUAUUUCCCCACGGCCAUCAAUCACACAAUAAAUAAUCAGUCAGUCAACUGAUCUAUCAGUAAUGUUUAAAUAUAUCCAGUUAAUAGAACUCGUACUGACAGUGCUGAAGAUGUGGAGACUGAGUGUAUACACACACAGACGUAUCAAAUGACAGCAGCAGCAGCGUGUCUGAAAGCACGACAUUCCCCAUUUAAGCUGAUUGGCUGACAUUUGCGAGCAGCUUGUAGUAAAGACCGUAUUAAAAUUUGUUAAUCCUGCAAAGUUAAAAGUGGCCACUAUUUUUAGUCGCUGUUGUUAUCACACAUCAGUCGGUCUGUAUUAAAUCCUCCGCCUUCACAGAAACACACGUUUACACUGCGCUUUGGCUGGAUCACACUUGUCUCUCACCAGCUCAGCUUUACUGAACACACUUGGAGGGAUUGCUAUGGCAACUGGUUGCUAUGGGUGAUGUGACACCACUACAUGCUCAUCUUGGCGAGGGAAAGAGGGAGUUGGACCACAGAGGAGAGGAAUGGAAGCGGAGAGCCACGGAUUUUAUUUUGAUUGCUGAACAAAUCGACGAGCUCGGUUGAAAAAGUUGUGACAACCCUCUGUCUCUGGGCGGACAGCCGUGAUGGAAGACGUCUCUCUCCCUGCUUAUUUCGGGUCUCCAUCACCCUCCCACUGAUGAAUCCUUUUCAGUAACAACAGAAUGGCUCUAAACAGGAACCUGUUGAUCACGAAUGUGGCGAAAAUGGCCACGUGCCCCUGACCCGUGCCGAGGAACUGGAGAGGAUGGCCGAGCAUCUCCACAGCAGCACGCUGUCUGCGUCUGGGGCCACCCAGCCCAUCCCUUUCCUCACGCUGGAACAGAAGGCUGCCUUCGUCUUCGUCCUCCUCCUCUUCAUCUUUCUGGGGCUGCUGAUCGUGCGCUGCUUCCGAAUCCUUCUGGAUCCGUACAGUAGCAUGCCGAGUUCCACAUGGACAGACUAUAUGGAAAAAGACACGUUCGACUACCGCAUUGCCUGAGCUGCUAGCCAGAUUUCAGGCUAGGAGACAUGCGAUGAUUACCUCACACACACACACACACACACGCCGACACACACAACCACCACCACACCUCCUCCACCUCAGAGCCGACUGUAUCCCUCAAGUGUUGUUGUUUCGUGAUGGUGGUUUUGUGUACUUGUGGGUCUGGAUUUUCCAUUUGAAAACUGCACUUAAACCAACUUUUAUGUCUCCUGCGUUCUGACAGGGUUUUUUCAACUCAUACCUUCCACCACUGAUGUCACGUUCAGCAUGGCUGAAAAGUCUUAGCGAUGAAUCUUUUAUGUUUGAAACCAGCCGAAUAGCUUUAUCACAGACCAACAAUACGGUUCAUUAUUUUCUAUGUCCAAAGAAAGACAAAUUAACAAUUCCGAAAUUGGAAAAUGAAAAAUUAGGUUAAUCCAUUUCUCAAUGACUCAUUCCACACUUGUGCAUUGGUUCCAGAACGAUUACAUUCUCUGAGCUCUUCGGUUUGGGACUCUUUGGAGCUUUGCGCCUUAUAAAUCCGUGUGUUUACAGAACAGCCAGAGAAACUGGCCCUGCUGUUAUUCAGCUAAAUGUCAAUCAAUGUACUGACCUACCAGCCUCUGUGGGCAAAUGGAAUGUUUGAUUUGCCAGGUCCUUUCCCCGCCUCUCUCCACAGUGUUCUUAAUAGGAGGAGUCGGAUUUCCUGUCUGUUGUUCUUCAGUAUUUGCUGACGUUGAAAUGGACUGUUCUAUCAAUCGAUUGUUUGCCGUUCUGCCCGGGCUAUCGGCACAGUGUUAUUUUUCCUUCUCAAAGUCUGGUUCACCUGUGAUUUGCUAUACAUGUUCAAUAGAAAUGAAGCUGAAAUAAACAGGUGCGAUAUGUGUCUUGCGUGCAGAGGAGGUCAAUAUUGCCAUUUAGGUGCAACUUAGCUAUUGCUUUCGAGUCUGUAGUGCAGCGGUGUUAUUUCUCCGUGACACCGACCUGCUCUUCUCACGAUGCACAUUGUGUCUUAGCUGAGUGGCGUGUACGAUAUAUUUGAGCCUUUAAAAUGCAGACAGAUGCUGGUGACUUUAUUCAAACUGAAAAUGUGCCAUGUAGUUUACAAGUGGCUUUUGCAUUUUAAUGUGCUUUUAUAUUUGUUUCCAAAUAAAUAAAUGAAUAAAAGAUAUGUUUACAGCUCA
This is a non-coding RNA of Pimephales promelas (fathead minnow), 2468 nucleotides long. NCBI's taxonomy places the organism in Eukaryota, Metazoa, Chordata, Actinopteri, Cypriniformes, Leuciscidae. The record is from RefSeq and is a predicted model, not a curated record.